Molecule: ribosomal RNA, 477 nt
Filed under: uncultured bacterium
Lineage: Bacteria
Description: bacterial SSU rRNA
Rfam family: Bacterial small subunit ribosomal RNA
Source: RNAcentral
UUCGCAAUGCCCGAAAGGGUGACGAAGAGACGCCGCGUGCGGGAAGAAGGCCUUCGGGUUGUAAACCGCUGUCGGGAGUUAGGAAGUGCAAGGAUGUUAAUAGCGUCUUUGCUUGACUAAGGCUCCGGAGGAAGCCACGGCUAACUCUGUGCCGGCAGCCGCGGUAAUACAGAGGCGGCAAGCGUUGUUCGGAAUUAUUGGGCGUAAAGAGCACGUAGGCGGCCGUGUAAGUCGGUUGUGAAAGCCUUCCGCUCAACGGAAGAACGGCAUCCGAUACUGCAUGGCUUGAGUGCGGGAGGGGAGAGUGGAACUUCUGGUGGAGCGGUGAAAUGCGUAGAUAUCAGAAGGAACACCGGCGGCGAAGGCGACUCUCUGGUCCGUAACUGACGCUGAGUGUGCGAAAGCUAGGGGAGCAAACGGGAUUAGAUACCCCGGUAGUCCUAGCCGUAAACGAUGGGCACUAAGUAGAGGGGUUUU